This 254-nucleotide ribosomal RNA is filed under the name uncultured bacterium. RNAcentral's name for it is "partial 16S ribosomal RNA". It matches the Rfam family "Bacterial small subunit ribosomal RNA", at positions 524 to 776 of the family's 1533-position model. The record is from RNAcentral.
UACGUAGGGGGCAAGCGUUGUCCGGAUUUAUUGGGCGUAAAGAGCUCGUAGGCGGUUUGGUAAGUCAGGUGUGAAAUCUCCACGCUCAACGUGGAGGGGCCACCUGAUACUGCCAUGACUGGAGUCCGGUAGAGGAGUGUGGAAUUCCCGGUGUAGCGGUGAAAUGCGCAGAUAUCGGGAGGAACACCAGUGGCGAAGGCGGCUACCUGGACCGGUUCUGACGCUGAUGCGCGAAAGCGUGGGUAGCAAACAGG